UUGGGACCAGAACUGCGUGGAGCCGAGCCCGGGGGAUUCCCUGGAUCCGGCCCUGCAGGAAUCCGUGGCUCAGCUGAAGCUGCUCAUGGCCAGGUUCCAGGGGGAGCUGCAGGCCUGGCAGGGGCUCCUGCAGCAGCCCCUGCAGCGCUCCCAGGAGGCCGCCAGGUGAGAAUUCCCCCCUGAGCCCCGAAUUGCCACUUGGAUCCCCAAAAUUCCCACUUGGAUCCCCAAAAUUCCCACUUGGAUCCCCAAAAUUCCCACUUGGAUCCCCAAAAUUCCCACUUGGA
Molecule: long non-coding RNA, 287 nt
Organism: Passer montanus (Eurasian tree sparrow)
Lineage: Eukaryota; Metazoa; Chordata; Aves; Passeriformes; Passeridae
Exons: 3
Source: RefSeq, a predicted model, not a curated record